AGUCGAGCGAGUCUGCCUUGAAGAUCGGAGUGCUUGCACUCUGUGAAACAAGAUACAGGCUAGCGGCGGACGGGUGAGUAACACGUGGGUAACCUGCCCAAGAGAUCGGGAUAACACCUGGAAACAGAUGCUAAUACCGGAUAACAACAGAUGAUGCCUAUCAACUGUUUAAAAGAUGGUUCUGCUAUCACUCUUGGAUGGACCUGCGGUGCAUUAGCUAGUUGGUAGGGUAACGGCCUACCAAGGCGAUGAUGCAUAGCCGAGUUGAGAGACUGAUCGGCCACAUUGGGACUGAGACACGGCCCAAACUCCUACGGGAGGCAGCAGUAGGGAAUCCUCCACAAUGGACGCAAGUCUGAUGGAGCAACGCCGCGUGAGUGAAGAAGGGUUUCGGCUCGUAAAGCUCUGUUGUUGGUGAAGAAGGACAGGGGUAGUAACUGACCUUUGUUUGACGGUAAUCAAUUAGAAAGUCACGGCUAACUACGUGCCAGCAGCCGCGGUAAUACGUAGGUGGCAAGCGUUGUCCGGAUCUAUUGGGCGUAAAGCGAGUGCAGGCGGUUCGAUAAGUCUGAUGUGAAAGCCUUCGGCUCAACCGGAGAAUUGCAUCAGAAACUGUCGAGCUUGAGUACAGAAGAGGAGAGUGGAACUCCAUGUGUAGCGGUGAAAUGCGUAGAUAUAUGGAAGAACACCGGUGGCGAAGGCGGCUCUCUGGUCUGUUACUGACGCUGAGGCUCGAAAGCAUGGGUAGCGAACAGGAUUAGAUACCCUGGUAGUCCAUGCCGUAAACGAUGAGUGCUAAGUGUUGGGAGGUUUCCGCCUCUCAGUGCUGCAGCUAACGCA
This 840-nucleotide ribosomal RNA is filed under the name uncultured bacterium. RNAcentral's name for it is "bacterial SSU rRNA". It matches the Rfam family "Bacterial small subunit ribosomal RNA", at positions 60 to 859 of the family's 1533-position model. The record is from RNAcentral.